AUAAACUAAAUGACUUCAAACAACCAGGGGAUACUUUGAAUGAAAACCUCUAAAGCAAAUUAAGUUGUUGCUACUAUGGUAUCCUUUCUUCAAUUACCUACCACUAUCUAUCACACAGAAUACCUCUCACACACACACACAGCUUGUCUGAAAUACCAUAAUGCCUUCUUUUUUUUUUACAUUGUUGUGAACUUAGACCAUGUUAAUGAAAUGGACACAAUAAAGAAAGAGGAAACAGACCAGCAAAUGUCUGUAUCGGUAACCUAAAGGUAAGACGUGAACCAAUUGGAAUAAAACAGUUGACAUUUCAGUUUAUUUGACAGCUGUGAUGUGUCCAUGGUCCAAAAAAUGAGAGCCUAGCCACAAUUGCUUCCGACUCAUUUCACUCAGGCUGCGGUCACAUAGUUCAGGCGCUGCCCCCAGUGGGUACUGACUGGACUGGCCCAAUCCCAUCUCUUAUCAGUCCCCAUCCCUCCCCCAGAGACUGCCGCGGCUCAGAGCCUGAAAUCUAUGGGUGGAUGAAGGCGUCAAAAGGGAUCAACAAAAGUGCAAGUGUGGUGCAGAGAAGUUGUGGGCCAAAAUAAAUUGCAUGCCCCCAAUUCCCCCUUGGGAGUUUGCAUCUUUGUCACCUUUUUCACCACUGAUCAGUUUGCACCCCUGGACAAUAAUCAGGAUCCCUUUGAGGAUGGGCAUGUGUGCAAAAAACCUGUUUGAGAAUAUCAUAGUAACAGUGUGUUUGUGCAUAAAUGUGGCCAUCUUUGGUAUACUGCUUCUGUGUGCAACAUGCAUUGCGUAAAACUGAUUUCGGUUUCAGUAGUCAUGAGUUUGUUUGACAAAAUUAGUUUGAAUGACCAUGAGAAACACCUCCGACUGAAAUCCCUGACGGACACCAUCAAGAAUUCAUGCAAGGCGCGUUACCGUCCCCAUAGACACCUGGCUGUGGAUGAACGAACGGGCGCCUCCAAGGCUAAAACUGGGAUGACCCAAGGUAUGAAAGCCAAACCCAGAAAGUGGGGAUCAGGCUAUUUGUGUUGUCUGAUAAAAAAAAAUGGCUAUGAAGUGAAUUUUACACCGGCAUGUCCCUUGUGCAGCCUGAUUACCCUGGCACCGGCUACCACAUCUAUAAGGACUAUUUUUAUACUCGCCCCAGGCUCUUCGGGGCCCUCCAUAAGCGCUGAUUUGCUGCCUGUGGGACUCACAGGGAUAUCCUCAAGAACUACCCUCAUACAGAGAUGAACACAAUCAUCAUUGGCAUCCAUCAAAAAAUCAGAAAGAGGAUCCAUGAGAUGAAUGAGGGAUGGGCCAUGGAAACGAGAGACACAUUGGUGGUGUGCUGGUUAAGUCAUGAAACCCACUCCGGUGAGACUGUGCUGAGGAGGGUGAAGCAGCAGGAUGGCCACAUUUAGGAUCAUUUCUGCUAUUUCUGCAGCAGAAGGGCAUUAUCUUCCUUGAGACAUAACUUGACCAGCUGCUAGAUUAUUACAGUCCUCUCUGGCUAAUGUGAACAACUUGGAAACACAUCAGUGUGACAACAACAACAAGGUAUCUCUAGGCAUUUAAACAAUGUGUCCGUUUUCUGCUAUGGAACAUUUUCACGUGGACAUAUCCCCCAAAGGCCUAAUUAUGCCAGUCUUGUUGAACAGCCAGGACAACCUCAUGGACACCCCUCUGACGUGUGUCUGUGAGGCUGGGCCUCUGAUCAGUAAGAAGCUAGAUCAGUGGUGUGGGGCAGGACGAGAACCCUGAACCCCCAACUGAUGGGCAUCUGUUUAAAACAAACAAACAAACAAAAACAAAAACAGGUAAUAGGCUAUAUGAAUAUAUCUCGAUCAUUUUUCUAAUUUUCCAAAGGGCCACAAAAGGUUUGGGAACCGCUGAGCCGGAUGAAACUUCAGAUCAGGGAUUGGGCCUGAGAAUGACCCGUUGAAUUUACACCAUGGUUUAUGAGCAGUUAUACAGAUUUAUGAAUGCACUAAAAAAACAAACCCGCUGUGCUAAGAAGUGAAAUAGCAAAUUGUUUAUUUUAGUCAUGGUACAAUGCCAUAGAAUACACAGUUUUGAGCAGAAGCUUACCGUGUCCAACUGAGCUCAAGACGAAUGUGUUACGAGUCAAGAAGCAUAUAGUCUAUUUUUGAUGAAUGUUUAAGCACCCCCCCUCAAAAAAAAAAAAAAAACACAACACAACAUUAUACAGAAAGGUGCAGCCUGUCUAUGAAAUAUAAUUAAAUCAAAAUUAAUGAACAUCUAAUCUUCACUGCGACAGUGGUGCCCACUCCAGGUUGCAGUGCAGUUUUUUCCUCAAGUGCCCCGUGUACAAGGGCAUAGCACCAAAUCUGCAGUUUAACCCCCCCACGGUACUCUUAAGCCCCUGCCUGUGCUCAUCAUGAUUUUGGACUGGACUGGACUGUUUGCUAAAAGCGUUGUGCUACGACCAUUGAGACCAUAAUUUUUGAACCAAUGACCAUAUACAAUGUAUGGACUGCUUGGGGUCAUAUGCUUACACAAGGUCAAAAUGAGACAUAUUUCUCUUGUUUUCAGACAAAAACCUAAAUUGGGGCCAAUUUCAAAGUCAUUGUUUGGUGAACUUUCUUUCUUGGUUACAAUGGUCACAGCACAUUAGUGCUUCAGCAAUAUGCAGUCCUCAUCCGUCCCUUCUAAUGUAUUGGGAUGACUGUGAUGUGUUUCACACAUACCAUCUAAACCAGUGGUGAGUGUCUGUACAUAUGAGAGGUGAAGCCUAGAAAAACUGAAAUACAUACUGUAAACACCUGAAAAUCUCACAAACUGGAGGAAAGUGUUAAGUGACAUAGGAAAAAAAAUAAAUUGCAUCUCUUGGGGAUAAUCACGUUGAUUUGGCUUGUCACUAGUAUUAGUGUGUAAUGACUUACUCUACCCUUUUAAGGUAAAAAUAAAUAAUAAAUCAUAAUUAACCAUAAUUUCCCACAAUAUUUAUACUUAGAAUAACAUGAUACUGUAUAAAACAACGUAUACACAGUAAAUCAUUAUUAAAUCACAAUGAUGACAAAAGGAAAAAAAUUAAAAAAUACAUCCUCGAACAAUAAUAAUAAAAAAUCUCAAUGAUGUAGACUUCUUCACUGAUGCAGUACCAGUAUCCUGGAGAAUGAGAGUAGACAGACAGACAGACACACACACACACACACACACACACACACACACACACACAACACACACCAGGUGAGACUACAAGAGAAUUACAACAAGUUUUAUUAAUCCCUGCUCUCAUUUAUAUAAAGUACAUUAGAGUCUUGACACUCAAGUCAACUUUACUCAUAUAGCGCAUUUGAAAAACAACGGGAGUUGUACCGAAGUGCUAUACAGUUGAGGUGAAUACAUUGAAAUUAAAUUGACAAAAAAUUAUG
This is a long non-coding RNA of Clupea harengus (Atlantic herring), 3380 nucleotides long. The record is from Ensembl. Lineage: Eukaryota; Metazoa; Chordata; Actinopteri; Clupeiformes; Clupeidae.